AGUGAACGCUGGCGGUAGGCCUAACACAUGCAAGUCGAACGGCAGCACAGUAAGAGCUUGCUCUUACGGGUGGCGAGUGGCGGACGGGUGAGGAAUACAUCGGAAUCUACUUUUUCGUGGGGGAUAACGUAGGGAAACUUACGCUAAUACCGCAUACGACCUACGGGUGAAAGCAGGGGAUCUUCGGACCUUGCGCGAUUGAAUGAGCCGAUGUCGGAUUAGCUAGUUGGCGGGGUAAAGGCCCACCAAGGCGACGAUCCGUAGCUGGUCUGAGAGGAUGAUCAGCCACACUGGAACUGAGACACGGUCCAGACUCCUACGGGAGGCAGCAGUGGGGGAUAUUGGACAAUGGGCGCAAGCCUGAUCCAGCCAUACCGCGUGGGUGAAGAAGGCCUUCGGGUUGUAAAGCCCUUUUGUUGGGAAAGAAAAGCAGCAGGUUAAUACCCCGCUGUUCUGACGGUACCCAAAGAAUAAGCACCGGCUAACUUCGUG
Molecule: ribosomal RNA, 492 nt
Filed under: uncultured bacterium
Lineage: Bacteria
Description: partial 16S ribosomal RNA
Rfam family: Bacterial small subunit ribosomal RNA
Source: RNAcentral